RNAcentral lists this long non-coding RNA (1200 nucleotides) under Citrus sinensis (sweet orange). RNAcentral's name for it is "long non-coding RNA (CSIN_LNC000060)". The record is from RNAcentral. Lineage: Eukaryota; Viridiplantae; Streptophyta; Magnoliopsida; Sapindales; Rutaceae.
CAAAAUUACAAUAUUUAAAAAUUACAAUAAAAACACCCAAGUAAACCUACGAUCUAGCUUCUUAUUUGUUUUAACAAAACGCCAGAAUCUCUGUAGCUUGUAGAAUUUCCGCUAGACUUGAUUUCAUAUUUUCACGCACAUUAUUAAUGAGAUUUAUUUUCAAUAUAACUACUAGCUUCUAAAAGCUCUCAAAAUAAUGAUUACUUUAAUAAGAUAAAGUGUUUGUGUUAUUAAUCAAUAUAGUACUAUUAAACUAAAAUCAUAAUGAAGCUUAGAAAUACACACAUUAAUCACUAGAAGAUGAUACAUGUGUUUUAAUUAGAUAUUUUUUUCCUCUAGCUUUAAAACUUAUUUAGUCGCGGUUGAAAUUGUAAAUUUACAAAGAGUGAUUUUAUAAGAAUUUUAGUGGGUGCCACUAGCUCUGCUCUUUUUAAAAAAUAUUUUACAUGCAUGAUCUAUUUAGACCAGAUUGAGGUCUUCUAGGCCUUUUAAAAUUUGACCUAAUAUUCAUGAUUUAAUGGAAGGCUGUAGCUAUUAAGCCCUGAUUUUAUAUCUCAUUAAGUUCCAUUCUUAAAUACAGACUAUUAAAAAAAAAUCCUUAUUAUUUCUAGUUAUUUUCAUACUCCAAUUUAUAACUUUUCAUUUAUAUUAUUUAAACAUAUCAUUCUUAUCUCUAAUUCCCCUAUGUUAGUCAUUAUGUUUAAUGGCUCUCAUUUCCUUAAAAAUUUAAUAUCUCUCUUUUUAUCAUAAAGAAAGAAAAUUUCUUCUCCAAUUAUAGUUUGAUCAAGUUGAAAAAAAUUUGAAUUUCCAUGCGAAAUCACCCUAAGUCGUUGAUUCUUAAUAGACUUGGACGCAACUGCUACUGACAUGCCACUGCCAUUCUUUGCUUUUGUCAUCAUCCCCUAAAAUUCUUUAGUUGUUGUUAUUACAAACAAAUAAGCUGCUGUGCUUUGUGUUUGCUGCUGCUAGUAAUCUCUGUUUCAGCUUAUCUUCGGUUUCUUUAUGUCUUCUUGGCUUUUUGACUUCUUUAUGGCUUCUUGCUUGUCUUCUGUUUCAGCUUAUCUUCGGUUUCUUUAUGUCUUCUUGGCUUUUUGACUUCUUUAUGGCUUCUUGCUUGUCUUCUGUUUCAGCUCUUCUUUCUUGCGCUUGUCUUCCUACUUGCUCUGCUUUCUUCUUUCUUGCUCUGCUUCUAUAUUCCCC